RNAcentral lists this ribosomal RNA (473 nucleotides) under uncultured Desulfobulbus sp. RNAcentral describes it as "bacterial SSU rRNA". It matches the Rfam family "Bacterial small subunit ribosomal RNA", at positions 917 to 1381 of the family's 1533-position model. The record is from RNAcentral. Lineage: Bacteria; Pseudomonadati; Thermodesulfobacteriota; Desulfobulbia; Desulfobulbales; Desulfobulbaceae.
GACGGGGCCGCACAGCGGUGGAGCAUGUGGUUUAAUUCGAUGCAACGCGAAGAACCUUACCUGGUCUUGACAUCCCGGAGACCCUUAGGAAACGUAGGGGGUGCUUCCAUCUGGAAGAAUCUGGAGACAGGUGCUGCAUGGCUGUCGUCAGCUCGUGUCGUGAGAUGUUGGGUUAAGUCCCGCAACGAGCGCAACCCUUGCCUUUAGUUGCCAGCAGUUCGGCUGGGCACUCUAAAGGGACUGCCGGUGUUAAACCGGAGGAAGGUGGGGAUGACGUCAAGUCCUCAUGGCCUUUACGGGCUGGGCUACACACGUGCUACAAUGGUGGUGACAGUGGGCAGCGAGCACGCGAGUGUGAGCUAAUCUCCAAAAGCCAUCUCAGUUCGGAUUGCACUCUGCAACUCGAGUGCAUGAAGUUGGAAUCGCUAGUAAUCGCGGAUCCAGCAUGCCGCGGUGAAUACGUUCCGGGCCUU